AGGGUUUGAUUAUGGCUCAGGACGAACGCUGGCGGCGUGCCUAACACAUGCAAGUCGAACGGACGAGGAGGAGCUUGCUUCUCCAAGUCAGUGGCGGACGGGUGAGUAACGCGUGAGUAACCUGCCCUUCAGAGGGGGAUAACGUCUGGAAACGGACGCUAAUACCGCAUGAUAUUGCGGGGUCGCAUGGCUCUGCAAUCAAAGGAGCAAUCCGCUGAAGGAUGGACUCGCGUCCGAUUAGAUAGUUGGUGAGGUAACGGCUCACCAAGUCGACGAUCGGUAGCCGGACUGAGAGGUUGAACGGCCACAUUGGGACUGAGACACGGCCCAG
This 331-nucleotide ribosomal RNA is filed under the name uncultured bacterium. RNAcentral's name for it is "bacterial SSU rRNA". It matches the Rfam family "Bacterial small subunit ribosomal RNA", at positions 8 to 334 of the family's 1533-position model. The record is from RNAcentral.